AGGGCACCACCAGGAGUGGAGCCUGCGGCUUAAUUUGACUCAACACGGGAAAACUCACCCGGCCCGGACACUGGAAGGAUUGACAGAUUGAGAGCUCUUUCUUGAUUCAGUGGGUGGUGGUGCAUGGCCGUUCUUAGUUGGUGGAGUGAUUUGUCUGGUUAAUUCCGAUAACGAACGAGACUCUAGCCUACUAAAUAGAUCGUCGGCUUACAAACGCCGGCGAGACUUCUUAGAGGGACAGGCGGUGAUUCAACCGCACGAAACAGAGCAAUAACAGGUCUGUGAUACCCUUAGAUGUCCGGGGCCGCACGCGCGCUACACUGAAGUGAUCAGCGUGCUUUUUCAACCUACUCUGUCAAGAGUGGGGAACACAAUGAACCUUCUUCGUGAUUGGGAUAGGGGAUUGUAAUUAUUCCCCUUGAACGAGGAAUUCCCAGUAAGCGCGAGUCAUAAGCUCGCGUUGAUUACGUCCCUGCCCUUUGUACACACCGCCCGUCGCUACUACCGAUUGAAUGUUUU
This 519-nucleotide ribosomal RNA is filed under the name uncultured eukaryote. Its description in RNAcentral is "SSU rRNA". It matches the Rfam family "Eukaryotic small subunit ribosomal RNA", at positions 1161 to 1699 of the family's 1831-position model. The record is from RNAcentral.